AAAAUGAAUAAAAUAAAAACAAAACCCAAAACGACUUGUCCGUCCAACAUCUGCCACUAAUUAUCUCCCGAUUUAGGGUUCUAAUGCACUGCUACUAAAUGGGAAAUUGUUGGAACAGAGGUGGACUCCAUUGUCAUUAGCGAAGAAAACGAUCAUCUAAACGAUCAAGACAAUGAUGAUGAAGAUCGUGCGUUCCUGUCGCGAUGAAGAUAUUAUUUCCUUUUCGCUUAAAAACAGCACCAAAAAAAAUGCGAGCUUUCCUCCCAGUUCCUCACGGAUUUAGAAGGAAAUGAUUUGUGUUUUGAGUGAAGCGAUGGCCCCAAUCGGUCACUUGAAGCCAUCCUACCAUCAGCUCAACCGUUCGUACAACCCGGUUGGACAUCCUCUUCGGGACAUAACCAUCAAUAAUGGGUGCCCGUAAAUCGUCAACAGCAUAAAAAAAAAACCCUAGUAAGGCUUCACUAGCAGCGGGGCACAAAACCAGAAGUGGGGUCAAAGUAAAAAAAAGGCGAGACGAUCUGAUAAAUGUGUUCCACCGUGUCCAACAGCAACUAUCCGGUCAGCUUUGCACGAUUAGAGGCAUCGCAUCUCCCCCGUCGUUUCUGCCAAUGGGGCCUCAACGAUUCAAAAUCAUCAUCAUCAUCAUCAUCGUCACGGUGCAAACUAGCCAGCCAUGGGGGUUUUUUGAGAGAUGAAUAGAACUCGCGGCAAGCAUCACGCGCACACCGGCAAAAGGGUACUAUUAAAUGGUUCACCGUCUAGGCCCAAAAGGGGCACAAACACAACCACGCAAACAAAAGAAAGGGAGGCUGUAAUUUCCCGGUAGCUACCGUUUUCGUUUUGGGGUCUAAUGUUUUAUCGUUCAGUAAUCGAAAUCCAUCAUCAAAUCAAAGAGACUCCAUUAGGAGCUAGGACGCUCGCACAUGGGUUCAAGUUCACCGCUACUGUUCUUAUUGCGAUUGAUGAGAAUGUUGGGUUGAAUGUUUGAAAAUAGGACUGUUUGAAUGUUACACAAGUUUUUGAAAAACAAAUUUAAUUUCGUUCCGGAAAAUAAAACAAACUUUUAAUACAA
Long non-coding RNA from Anopheles funestus (African malaria mosquito), 1072 nucleotides. RefSeq lists it as uncharacterized. The transcript is spliced from 3 exons. The record is from RefSeq and is a predicted model, not a curated record. Lineage: Eukaryota; Metazoa; Arthropoda; Insecta; Diptera; Culicidae.